This 77-nucleotide transfer RNA is filed under the name Salmonella phage FSL SP-076. Its description in RNAcentral is "tRNA-Ile". The record is from RNAcentral. Lineage: Duplodnaviria; Heunggongvirae; Uroviricota; Caudoviricetes; Schitoviridae.
UCUCGUUACUCCCACCAAAUCAAUAUAAGGAAAAUCCCAAUGCGUUUUAUCCAAAUGAAUUCUGGACCUAAUCGUGC